CCUACGGGAGGCAGCAGUGAGGAAUAUUGGUCAAUGGACGAGAGUCUGAACCAGCCAAGUAGCGUGAAGGAUGACUGCCCUAUGGGUUGUAAACUUCUUUUAUAUGGGAAUAAAAUGUUCCAUGUGUGGGAUUUUGUAUGUACCAUAUGAAUAAGGAUCGGCUAACUCCGUGCCAGCAGCCGCGGUAAUACGGAGGAUCCGAGCGUUAUCCGGAUUUAUUGGGUGUAAAGGGAGCGUAGGUGGAUUGUUAAGUCAGUUGUGAAAGUUUGCGGCUCAACCGUAAAAUUGCAGUUGAAACUGGCAGUCUUGAGUACAGUAGAGGUGGGCGGAAUUCGUGGUGUAGCGGUGAAAUGCUUAGAUAUCACGAAGAACUCCGAUUGCGAAGGCAGUUCACUGGACUGCAACUGACACUGAGGCUCGAAAGUGUGGGUAUCAAACAGGAUUAGAUACCCUUGUAGUC
RNAcentral lists this ribosomal RNA (460 nucleotides) under uncultured bacterium. Its description in RNAcentral is "partial 16S ribosomal RNA". It matches the Rfam family "Bacterial small subunit ribosomal RNA", at positions 338 to 795 of the family's 1533-position model. The record is from RNAcentral.